RNAcentral lists this long non-coding RNA (377 nucleotides) under Prunus dulcis (almond). RNAcentral's name for it is "sRNA ncRNA". The record is from RNAcentral. Lineage: Eukaryota; Viridiplantae; Streptophyta; Magnoliopsida; Rosales; Rosaceae.
AGCAUCAGCAGCUGGUGAUGAAACGCUGAGAUUCUGGAAUGUUUUUGAGGUCCCUGAGGUGGCUAAACCAGCUCCCAAAGCUAAUCCGGAGCCUUUUGCCCAUUUGAAUCGUAUCCGUUGAUCAAAAGCAUGCAUGAGGAGUAAUUACACGAGAUGGAGAUUCAUGGAACCAAAACUGUAUAGGAUGCAGAACCAGAACUAGCUUCAGGAAUCAGUUCUGUUCUUUUUAGCGCAAGUUUGAAGUGAAAUGAAAAACACAUGACAAUCUCAGUACAUGUUCUUUCUACAAUUCCCCUAUAUAAAUUAUAAAGAGUUGCAGGAAAUAAGAAAUCCUUGUACAUAUUCUUUUGACAAUCUCAGUACACAUUUUUUGCCAG